This 773-nucleotide ribosomal RNA is filed under the name uncultured Neocallimastigales. RNAcentral describes it as "partial large subunit ribosomal RNA". It matches the Rfam family "Eukaryotic large subunit ribosomal RNA", at positions 22 to 616 of the family's 3401-position model. Lineage: Eukaryota; Fungi; Neocallimastigomycota; Neocallimastigomycetes; Neocallimastigales. The record is from RNAcentral.
GUACACGCUGUGACUAGCAUAUCAAUAAGCGGAGGAAAAGAAACUAACAAGGAUUCCCUAGUAACGGCGAGUGAAGCGGGAAGAGCUCAAAUUUGAAAUCUUGAAAGGGUUACCUUCCACGAAUUGUAGUUUAAAGAAGUGUUUUCUGCUGAAGUUUUGGUAAAAGUUCUUUGGAAUAGGACAUCAUAGAGGGUGAGAAUCCCGUAUUGACCGUUAUUUCUAGCUUUGUGAUACACUUUCAAAGAGUCGGACUGUUUGGGAAUGCAGUCCAAAAUGGGUGGUAAAUUUCAUCUAAAGCUAAAUAUUGGCGAGAGACCGAUAGCGAACAAGUACCGUGAGGGAAAGAUGAAAAGAACUUUGAAAAGAGAGUUAAACAGUACGUGAAAUUGUCAAAAGGGAAGCGUUUGACACCAGUGUUGUUUUCUCGAAAAUCAAUUAAAAAUGGCUCGAUUUUGUAUUGCUGAGACCUUAAAAGCUCACUGUACAUUUUUCGUGUCUUUUUUAAUGCACUUUUCGUUUAACAAGUCAACAUCAGUUUCUUUUGUUGUAAAAGGGUCAUUGGAAGGUGGCUUUCUUUUCGGAGAAAGUGUUUAUAGCCUUUGGCCUCUGCAAUCGGAGAGACUGAGGUCUGCAGCGUAGACUCUUCGGGGUUAGAUACAUUUGUGCUAAGUUAUAGCUCUUUAUAGACAACUUGUUGACUAUAAUUAGUCUUGUAGCUUACUCGCUUAUGCUAUUUUACCUACGCUUAGGAUGUUGAGCGCAUGUCUCUCUCU